RNAcentral lists this ribosomal RNA (200 nucleotides) under uncultured bacterium. Its description in RNAcentral is "partial 16S ribosomal RNA". It matches the Rfam family "Bacterial small subunit ribosomal RNA", at positions 1300 to 1500 of the family's 1533-position model. The record is from RNAcentral.
GCAGUCUGCAACUCGACUGCAUGAAGCUGGAAUCGCUAGUAAUCGCGAAUCAGAAUGUCGCGGUGAAUACGUUCCCGGGCCUUGUACACACCGCCCGUCACACCAUGGGAGUUGGAAAUACCCGAAGCCUGUGAGCUAACUUAAAGAGGCAGCAGUCGAAGGUAGAGCCAAUGAUUGGGGUGAAGUCGUAACAAGGUAUC